UACGUAGGGUGCGAGCGUUAAUCGGAUUUACUGGGCGUAAAGGGGGCGUAGGUGGCCGUGUAAGUCCGGUGUGAAAAGCCACGGCUCAACCGUGGAACUGCGCUGGAAACUACACGGCUUGAGGACGGUAGAGGGAGACGGAACUGCUGGUGUAGGGGUGAAAUCCGUAGAUAUCAGCAGGAACGCCGGUGGGGAAGCCGGUCUCCUGGGCCGCUCCUGACGCUGAGGCCCGAAAGCUAGGGGAGCAAACCGG
RNAcentral lists this ribosomal RNA (253 nucleotides) under uncultured microorganism. Its description in RNAcentral is "partial 16S ribosomal RNA". It matches the Rfam family "Bacterial small subunit ribosomal RNA", at positions 524 to 776 of the family's 1533-position model. The record is from RNAcentral.